GAUAUAGUAACACACGCCAAUGAUCCCUGAUACUUGGGGCAUCUGAGAUUGGUGGAUUGACUGAUUUUGGGAACUCUGAGCCUUGGUAGGGUUAAAGCCCAAUUGGGUAUCUGCACUAAAUCCACCACAAAUAUGGUGAGCCCCUUGGAUAGGUGAGCCACCAGGCUGCCUAAAGAGGGGUGAACUUGGCUCAGUUUAGAAGCAGAGCAGGCUAAAAUUUCUGUGCAGAUCAGCAGUGAGAUUUGGCCAUGGGUGACCUCUGCACUUUCAGCCUGAGAGAUAGGGAGACCCAGUCACCA
This 299-nucleotide signal recognition particle RNA is filed under the name Vombatus ursinus (common wombat). Its description in RNAcentral is "Metazoan signal recognition particle RNA (ENSVURG00010004448.1)". It matches the Rfam family "Metazoan signal recognition particle RNA". Rfam says of the family: The signal recognition particle (SRP) is a universally conserved ribonucleoprotein. Lineage: Eukaryota; Metazoa; Chordata; Mammalia; Diprotodontia; Vombatidae. The record is from RNAcentral.